This 446-nucleotide ribosomal RNA is filed under the name uncultured bacterium. RNAcentral describes it as "partial 16S ribosomal RNA". It matches the Rfam family "Bacterial small subunit ribosomal RNA", at positions 338 to 795 of the family's 1533-position model. The record is from RNAcentral.
CCUACGGGUGGCUGCAGUCGAGAAUCAUUCACAAUGGGGGAAACCCUGAUGGUGCGACGCCGCGUGGGGGACUGAAGGUCUUCGGAUUGUAAACCCUUGUCAUGUGGGAGCAAAUUAAAAAGUUAGUACAACAAGAAGAAGAGACGGCUAACUCGGGGCCAGAAGCAGCGGUAAUAAGGAGGUCUUAAGCGUUGUUCGGAAUCACUGGGCGUAAAGCGUGCGUAGGCGGUUUCGUAAGUCGUGUGUGAAAGGCGCGGGCUCAACCCGCGGACGGCACGUGAUACUGCGAGACUAGAGUAAUGGAGAGGGAGCCGGAAUUCUGGGUGUAGCAGUGAAAUGCGUAGAUAUCGAGAGGAACACUCGUGGCGAAGGCGGGUUCCUAGACAUUAACUGACGCUGAGGCGCGAAGGCCAGGGGAGCGAAAGGGAUUAGAUACCCGUGUAGUC